CUUGGUCAUUUGGAGGAAGUAAAAGUCGUAACAAGGUUUCCGUAGGUGAACCUGCGGAAGGAUCAUUAAAGAAAUAAACUUGAUGGGUUGUAGCUGGCUCUAACUUGAGUAUGUGCACGCCUGUCAUUUUUAUCUUUCCACCAUGUGCACUUUGCAUAGGUCUGAAAAUCAAGUGUUUUUUUUCACUUGAUGUCUUGGGAACUGCUGUGCUUCACAGCCAGCUUUUCCUGUCUUCAGGCUCUAUGAUUUUUAUAUAUACACCAUGUAUGUUAAAGAACGCAUUUACAGGCUUGCAAAAGCCUAUAAACUUUAUACAACUUUCAGCAACGGAUCUCUUGGCUCUCGCAUCGAUGAAGAACGCAGCGAAAUGCGAUAAGUAAUGUGAAUUGCAGAAUUCAGUGAAUCAUCGAAUCUUUGAACGCACCUUGCGCUCCUUGGUAUUCCGAGGAGCAUGCCUGUCUGAGUGUCAUUAAAUUCUCAAUCUCUACAACUUUUGUUGUUAGCAGGUUGGAUGUGGGGGCUUUUAUUGUGGGCGUUACAACCCACUCCCCUGAAAUGAAUUAGCUGGAAUGCCUCGGCAAAUCCAACUAUCAGUGUGAUAAAUAUCUACUGUGGUUGUUGCUUUUUGAGGGUAUCUGCUUCUCAACUGUCUGCAAAGACAACUUGAAUCAUUUUGACCUCAAAUCAGGUAGGACUACCCGCUGAACUUAAGCAUAUCAAUAAGCGGAGGAAAAGAAACUAACAAGGAUUCCCCUAGUAACUGCGAGUGAAGCGGGAAAAGCUCAAAUUUAAAAUCUGGCAGUCUUUGAUUGUCCGAGUUGUAAUCUAGAGAAGUGUUAUCCGCGUUGGACCGUGUACAAGUCUCCUGGAAUGGAGCAUCAUAGAGGGUGAGGAUCCCGUCUUUGACAUGGACUACCAGUGCUUUGUGAUGCGCUCUCAAAGAGUCGAGUUGUUUGGGAAU
Molecule: small RNA, 961 nt
Filed under: uncultured Conocybe
Lineage: Eukaryota; Fungi; Basidiomycota; Agaricomycetes; Agaricales; Bolbitiaceae
Description: eukaryotic LSU rRNA
Rfam family: Eukaryotic large subunit ribosomal RNA (bases 675-961)
Source: RNAcentral